AAUCAACGCUGGCGGCGUGCCUCAGACAUGCAAGUCGAACGAUUAAAGCUCUCUUCGGAGAGUGUAUAGAGUGGCGCACGGGUGAGUAACACGUAAGUAAUCUACCUUUGAGUGGGGAAUAACAUCGGGAAACCGAUGCUAAUACCGCAUAAUGCAGCGGCAUCGCAAGAUGACAGUUGUUAAAGAUUUAUCGCUUGAAGAGGAGCUUGCGGCAGAUUAGCUAGUUGGUAAGGUAAUGGCUUACCAAGGCUACGAUCUGUAACCGGUCUAAGAGGACGGUCGGUCACACUGACACUGAAUAACGGGUCAGACUCCUACGGGAGGCAGCAGUCGAAGUUAGUUGA
This 344-nucleotide ribosomal RNA is filed under the name uncultured bacterium. Its description in RNAcentral is "bacterial SSU rRNA". It matches the Rfam family "Bacterial small subunit ribosomal RNA", at positions 32 to 368 of the family's 1533-position model. The record is from RNAcentral.